CGGGAUGUAGCGCAGCUUGGUAGCGCAUCUGCUUUGGGAGCAGAGGGUCGCAGGUUCAAAUCCUGUCAUCCCGAUCA
RNAcentral lists this transfer RNA (77 nucleotides) under Thermosynechococcus vestitus BP-1. Its description in RNAcentral is "Thermosynechococcus elongatus BP-1 trnP-UGG". It matches the Rfam family "tRNA". From Rfam's summary of the family: Transfer RNA (tRNA) molecules are approximately 80 nucleotides in length. Their secondary structure includes four short double-helical elements and three loops (D, anti-codon, and T loops). The record is from RNAcentral. Lineage: Bacteria; Bacillati; Cyanobacteriota; Cyanophyceae; Acaryochloridales; Thermosynechococcaceae.